This 2900-nucleotide ribosomal RNA is filed under the name Klebsiella pneumoniae. RNAcentral's name for it is "bacterial LSU rRNA". It matches the Rfam family "Bacterial large subunit ribosomal RNA". Lineage: Bacteria; Pseudomonadati; Pseudomonadota; Gammaproteobacteria; Enterobacterales; Enterobacteriaceae. The record is from RNAcentral.
UUAAGCGACUAAGCGUACACGGUGGAUGCCCUGGCAGUCAGAGGCGAUGAAGGACGUGCUAAUCUGCGAAAAGCGUCGGUAAGGUGAUAUGAACCGUUAUAGCCGGCGAUGUCCGAAUGGGGAAACCCAGUGCAAUUCGUUGCACUAUCGUUAACUGAAUACAUAGGUUAACGAGGCGAACCGGGGGAACUGAAACAUCUAAGUACCCCGAGGAAAAGAAAUCAACCGAGAUUCCCCCAGUAGCGGCGAGCGAACGGGGAGCAGCCCAGAGUCUGAAUCAGCUUGUGUGUUAGUGGAACGGUCUGGAAAGUCCGACGGUACAGGGUGAUAGUCCCGUACACCAAAAUGCACAGGCUGUGAACUCGAAGAGUAGGGCGGGACACGUGGUAUCCUGUCUGAAUAUGGGGGGACCAUCCUCCAAGGCUAAAUACUCCUGACUGACCGAUAGUGAACCAGUACCGUGAGGGAAAGGCGAAAAGAACCCCGGCGAGGGGAGUGAAAAAGAACCUGAAACCGUGUACGUACAAGCAGUGGGAGCACCUUCGGGUGUGACUGCGUACCUUUUGUAUAAUGGGUCAGCGACUUAUAUUCUGUAGCAAGGUUAACCGUAUAGGGGAGCCGCAGGGAAACCGAGUCUUAACUGGGCGUUAAGUUGCAGGGUAUAGACCCGAAACCCGGUGAUCUAGCCAUGGGCAGGUUGAAGGUUGGGUAACACUAACUGGAGGACCGAACCGACUAAUGUUGAAAAAUUAGCGGAUGACUUGUGGCUGGGGGUGAAAGGCCAAUCAAACCGGGAGAUAGCUGGUUCUCCCCGAAAGCUAUUUAGGUAGCGCCUCGUGAACUCAUCUUCGGGGGUAGAGCACUGUUUCGGCUAGGGGGUCAUCCCGACUUACCAACCCGAUGCAAACUACGAAUACCGAAGAAUGUUAUCACGGGAGACACACGGCGGGUGCUAACGUCCGUCGUGAAGAGGGAAACAACCCAGACCGCCAGCUAAGGUCCCAAAGUCAUGGUUAAGUGGGAAACGAUGUGGGAAGGCACAGACAGCCAGGAUGUUGGCUUAGAAGCAGCCAUCAUUUAAAGAAAGCGUAAUAGCUCACUGGUCGAGUCGGCCUGCGCGGAAGAUGUAACGGGGCUAAACCAUGCACCGAAGCUGCGGCAGCGACACUAUGUGUUGUUGGGUAGGGGAGCGUUCUGUAAGCCUGCGAAGGUGACCUGUGAGGGUUGCUGGAGGUAUCAGAAGUGCGAAUGCUGACAUAAGUAACGAUAAAGCGGGUGAAAAGCCCGCUCGCCGGAAGACCAAGGGUUCCUGUCCAACGUUAAUCGGGGCAGGGUGAGUCGACCCCUAAGGCGAGGCCGAAAGGCGUAGUCGAUGGGAAACAGGUUAAUAUUCCUGUACUUGGUGUUACUGCGAAGGGGGGACGGAGAAGGCUAUGUUAGCCGGGCGACGGUUGUCCCGGUUUAAGCAUGUAGGCUGGUUAUCCAGGCAAAUCCGGAUAAUCAAGGCUGAGGUGUGAUGACGAGGCACUACGGUGCUGAAGUAACAAAUGCCCUGCUUCCAGGAAAAGCCUCUAAGCAUCAGGUAACAUUAAAUCGUACCCCAAACCGACACAGGUGGUCAGGUAGAGAAUACCAAGGCGCUUGAGAGAACUCGGGUGAAGGAACUAGGCAAAAUGGUGCCGUAACUUCGGGAGAAGGCACGCUGGUGUGUAGGUGAAGUCCCUGCGGAUGGAGCUGAGACCAGUCGAAGAUACCAGCUGGCUGCAACUGUUUAUUAAAAACACAGCACUGUGCAAACACGAAAGUGGACGUAUACGGUGUGACGCCUGCCCGGUGCCGGAAGGUUAAUUGAUGGGGUUAUCCGUAAGGAGAAGCUCUUGAUCGAAGCCCCGGUAAACGGCGGCCGUAACUAUAACGGUCCUAAGGUAGCGAAAUUCCUUGUCGGGUAAGUUCCGACCUGCACGAAUGGCGUAAUGAUGGCCAGGCUGUCUCCACCCGAGACUCAGUGAAAUUGAACUCGCUGUGAAGAUGCAGUGUACCCGCGGCAAGACGGAAAGACCCCGUGAACCUUUACUAUAGCUUGACACUGAACAUUGAGCCUUGAUGUGUAGGAUAGGUGGGAGGCUUUGAAGCGUGGACGCCAGUCUGCGUGGAGCCAACCUUGAAAUACCACCCUUUAAUGUUUGAUGUUCUAACGUUGGCCCCUGACCGGGGUUGCGGACAGUGUCUGGUGGGUAGUUUGACUGGGGCGGUCUCCUCCCAAAGCGUAACGGAGGAGCACGAAGGUUAGCUAAUCCUGGUCGGACAUCAGGAGGUUAGUGCAAUGGCAUAAGCUAGCUUGACUGCGAGCGUGACGGCGCGAGCAGGUGCGAAAGCAGGUCAUAGUGAUCCGGUGGUUCUGAAUGGAAGGGCCAUCGCUCAACGGAUAAAAGGUACUCCGGGGAUAACAGGCUGAUACCGCCCAAGAGUUCAUAUCGACGGCGGUGUUUGGCACCUCGAUGUCGGCUCAUCACAUCCUGGGGCUGAAGUAGGUCCCAAGGGUAUGGCUGUUCGCCAUUUAAAGUGGUACGCGAGCUGGGUUUAGAACGUCGUGAGACAGUUCGGUCCCUAUCUGCCGUGGGCGCUGGAGAAUUGAGGGGGGCUGCUCCUAGUACGAGAGGACCGGAGUGGACGCAUCACUGGUGUUCGGGUUGUCAUGCCAAUGGCACUGCCCGGUAGCUAAAUGCGGAAGAGAUAAGUGCUGAAAGCAUCUAAGCACGAAACUUGCCCCGAGAUGAGUUCUCCCUGAGACUUUAAGUCUCCUGAAGGAACGUUGAAGACGACGACGUUGAUAGGCCGGGUGUGUAAGCGCAGCGAUGCGUUGAGCUAACCGGUACUAAUGAACCGUGAGGCUUAACCUU